UCAUAGCACACUGCAGCCUUGAACUCCUGGGCUCAGACCAUCCUCCUGCCUCAGCCGCCUGAGUAGCUGGUACUAUAGGCAUGCACUACCACACCUGGCUUGUAAUUUCGCUCUUGUUGCCCAGCCUGGAGUGCAAUGGUGCAAUUUUGGCUCACCACAACCUCUGCCUCCCGGGUUGAAGCGAUUCUCAUGCCUCAGCCUCCCGAGUAGCUGGGAUUACAGACGUGUGCCACCAUACCUGGGUAAUUUUUGCAUUUUUAGUGGAGAGGGAGUUUCACCAUGUUGGCCAGGUUGGUCUUGAACUCCUGACCUCAGGUGAUCCUCCUGCCUCGGCCUCCCAAAGUGCUGGGAUUACAGGCAUGAGCCACCGUGCUCAGCCGCAAAAUUCUUUAUGAAUUUUACACUUGGCAAAUGUUAAUGACGGAAGCCAUAGUCUGCUCCUAAUACAUGUCCAAAGCAUUGACUGUUGUGUCAUUAGCUGCCUGGUUACAUUAGCUCCCUGGCUUCUUGUUUAGACCACUGCUAAUCCCUUAAAAACAAGAGGUCUGGCACUAGUAGCACAACCUAAGGUGGCAUUACAGAUCUUUGAGCGAGCCACAGCAACUUUUCUGCCAAGUCAGCUUAGUUUAGACUUCAGUGAAUCAGGCUAUUGCUAUCCUAAUGUAUGUCUCUAUGAGUGUAUUUAGCCACACAUCUGCCCUUGGUUGACUUUCUGACUCAUUGCUUGCUUGCUUGUUUCCUUGCUUUGGAAAACUAUUGAAGAUUGCUAAAAAAUACCACUGCAAAGUGAUGGAAAAGGGUGGAGAACAGGGGAGUAGCCAGGCUGGAUGGCUCAAAUAUAAAUGAAUGAGGAAUUCUUUAUGAAGUAUCAGUCAGAUUUUAUGAUUAAGUGAUGUAAUAUAGGAAUUAUGUAAAAGGGAAGAAUGUCUGAUACUGAUCUAUUAGAGAGGUACUUUAGAGGCUUCUUGAUUGGCAUAAAGUUCCUAAGGUUAUAGAUUUUCCCCCCUUUUGGCUGUAUAGCAAAGUGUUUUAAUCCACGGUUGUGCCUUAUUGUUCCAUUAAAAUUGUAUCUUCGAUCCAUCAAUAAAUACUUGUGGUUGAAACAAAAUAA
This 1111-nucleotide long non-coding RNA is filed under the name Homo sapiens (human). RNAcentral describes it as "HSALNT0380933". Lineage: Eukaryota; Metazoa; Chordata; Mammalia; Primates; Hominidae. The record is from RNAcentral.